GAUGAGGGGACCUCGAGUGCCAGGUUACAAAUCUGGCUGUCGUGAUGCCUAAAAAGCAUUGCAUAGCAAGGGCCGGGCAAGACCGGUGCCAGCCGCCGCGGUAACACCGGCGGCUCGAGUGGUAACCGUUAUUAUUGGGUCUAAAGGGUCUGUAGCCGGCCGGAUAAGUCUCUUGGGAAAUCCAGCAGCUCAACUGUUGGGCUUUCAGGAGAUACUGUCUGGCUCGAGGCCGGGAGAGGUGAGAGGUACUUCAGGGGUAGGGGUGAAAUCUUGUAAUCCUUGAAGGACCACCAGUGGCGAAGGCGUCUCACCAGAACGGACCUGACGGCAAGGGACGAAAGCUAGGGGCACGAACCGGAUUAGAUACCCGGGUAGUCCUAGCCGUAAACGAUACUCGCUAGGUGUCGGCCACGGUGCGACCGUUGUCGGUGCCGUAGGGAAGCCGUGAAGCGAGCCACCUGGGAAGUACGGCCGCAAGGCUGAAACUUAAAGGAAUUGGCGGGGGAGCAC
RNAcentral lists this ribosomal RNA (510 nucleotides) under uncultured archaeon. RNAcentral's name for it is "bacterial SSU rRNA". It matches the Rfam family "Archaeal small subunit ribosomal RNA", at positions 369 to 879 of the family's 1478-position model. The record is from RNAcentral.